AUUGAACGCUGGCGGCAUGCUUUACACAUGCAAGUCGAACGGUAACAGGCCGCAAGGUGCUGACGAGUGGCGAACGGGUGAGUAAUGCAUCGGAACGUGCCCAGUCGUGGGGGAUAACGCAGCGAAAGCUGCGCUAAUACCGCAUACGAUCUAUGGAUGAAAGCGGGGGACCGUAAGGCCUCGCGCGAUUGGAGCGGCCGAUGUCAGAUUAGGUAGUUGGUGGGGUAAAGGCUCACCAAGCCAACGAUCUGUAGCUGGUCUGAGAGGACGACCAGCCACACUGGGACUGAGACACGGCCCAGACUCCUACGGGAGGCAGCAGUGGGGAAUUUUGGACAAUGGGCGCAAGCCUGAUCCAGCAAUGCCGCGUGCAGGAAGAAGGCCUCGGUU
Molecule: ribosomal RNA, 390 nt
Filed under: uncultured bacterium
Lineage: Bacteria
Description: bacterial SSU rRNA
Rfam family: Bacterial small subunit ribosomal RNA
Source: RNAcentral